This 74-nucleotide transfer RNA is filed under the name Haematococcus lacustris. RNAcentral describes it as "tRNA-Val". The record is from RNAcentral. Lineage: Eukaryota; Viridiplantae; Chlorophyta; Chlorophyceae; Chlamydomonadales; Haematococcaceae.
UAUCCCCGGGGAGUCUCGAUCUCCCGACCUUUCGCGUGUGAGGCGAAUGUGAUAGCCAACUACACCACAGAGAC